RNAcentral lists this long non-coding RNA (277 nucleotides) under Zostera marina. RNAcentral describes it as "long non-coding RNA (ZMAR_LNC000632)". The record is from RNAcentral. Lineage: Eukaryota; Viridiplantae; Streptophyta; Magnoliopsida; Alismatales; Zosteraceae.
CAGCCAUGAAAUCGGGAAGUGUCACCCCAGCAGAAGUGUAAGGCACAUAACCUCUAGGAGGUGGUGGUGCGGAGCGAGAGCUCGACCCUUGCUCGAAGGUCCGGCGAGGCUCGCUACGUGUAGUUUUCCUCUUCCUCAGUCUGAUUAGCUUGCCCUCGCGAAACCUCUUGCGCAUAUAAAGAGGAGCGGCGUCGUGAUAUAAAAGCGAACGCUUUUUCUCGCCCUCCAGCUCCUUCUCAGUGGGUGGUUGAUGCGCCUCUUCCACAUCCUCGAAUGU